Suricata suricatta (meerkat) is the source of this 424-nucleotide long non-coding RNA. RefSeq lists it as uncharacterized. NCBI's taxonomy places the organism in Eukaryota, Metazoa, Chordata, Mammalia, Carnivora, Herpestidae. The record is from RefSeq and is a predicted model, not a curated record. The transcript is spliced from 2 exons.
CGCCCCGGCCGCGGCCCGUUGGGCCUCCCCCUGCUCCCAGCCGCCAGUCCCCCCGAGUGAAGGACGCGGUCCUUAUGACCCAGGUAGCUGUGCCCCCGUCUCCCGUGUCUUCAGGUGGACUCUGCUGCUAACAUCCAGGCUGGAAUCCCGCCUCGGCCGGAUGAUUCUCUUCCUUUGUGAAAGGGCAGCCCCGCCGCACGGCUGCCCUGGGAGGUCCUUGCACUCAAGCAGGCUGGACACCGGGUGCACGCUGUCCUGCACGGAGCCUGCUCCUCGCCCGUGCAGGAGUCCGUGCCCUCUCUUCUUACCCCGUGGGAUCCGGCUGGUGGGAGGCGUCGCGCCCUGACCUGGCCUCUGGCGCGCUGGGCCGCCGGGCCCUCCCCGACACCGUGCCAAAGCAAUAAAGGUUUUCAGUCGCUGUCGA